AACGACUCUCGGCAACGGAUAUCUCGGCUCUCGCAUCGAUGAAGAACGUAGCGAAAUGCGAUACUUGGUGUGAAUUGCAGAAUCCCGUGAACCAUCGAGUCUUUGAACGCAAGUUGCGCCCGAGGCCUUUGGCCGAGGGCACGUCUGCCUGGGCGUCA
RNAcentral lists this ribosomal RNA (158 nucleotides) under Cherleria biflora. RNAcentral describes it as "5.8S ribosomal RNA". It matches the Rfam family "5.8S ribosomal RNA". Rfam says of the family: 5.8S ribosomal RNA (5.8S rRNA) is a component of the large subunit of the eukaryotic ribosome. Lineage: Eukaryota; Viridiplantae; Streptophyta; Magnoliopsida; Caryophyllales; Caryophyllaceae. The record is from RNAcentral.